GGGGGCGAUACGGUUUCGACGGGGAUGCGGAGAUUCGUGCGGCGUGUCGGGGGUUCCAGUGACCUCGUUAAAACUGCGGGAACUUUACAAUUGCCAACGAUAACGUUGAGCUCGCUCUCGCUGCCUAAUUAAGCAGUGAUAGCACAAGAACCUUCGGGUUCCGUCUCUGCAGGUCCUGCCUGUGGAUUUGCAGCGGCGUCAAUUUACAGGCUGGCUAAGGGAUAGUCAUGGCUGAGGACGAUCCGGCGGCGAGAUUAAAUCUACGGCCACUUUAAACAGGCCUGUCUUUGGGCUUUGUUUAGAGUCAUUGUACAAAGACUACACACGUAGAAGGGCGAAAUUGAAGAUUUUCGGACGCGGGUUCGACUCCCGCCGCCUCCAUUC
This 384-nucleotide transfer-messenger RNA is filed under the name Pseudomonadota bacterium. Its description in RNAcentral is "Proteobacteria bacterium (gut metagenome) transfer-messenger RNA". It matches the Rfam family "transfer-messenger RNA". Rfam says of the family: Bacterial tmRNA, also known as 10Sa RNA or SsrA, is named for its dual tRNA and mRNA-like properties. The record is from RNAcentral. Lineage: Bacteria; Pseudomonadati; Pseudomonadota. RNAcentral also lists the same sequence under 1 other name.